This 424-nucleotide ribosomal RNA is filed under the name uncultured bacterium. RNAcentral's name for it is "bacterial SSU rRNA". It matches the Rfam family "Bacterial small subunit ribosomal RNA", at positions 28 to 505 of the family's 1533-position model. The record is from RNAcentral.
GAUGAACGCUAGCGGUGCGCCUAACACAUGCAAGUCGAGCGAUAUAGCGGCGAACGGGUGAGUAACACGUUGGAACCUGCCCCAGACUCAGGGAUAGCCCGCCGAAAGGUGGAUUAAUACCGGAUAGUUCCCGAAAGGGUAAAGAUUUAUCGGUCUGGGAGGGGCCUGCGCAGUAUCAGCUUGUUGGUAGUGUAACGGACUACCAAGGCUACGACGCUUAACUGGUCUGAGAGGAUGAUCAGUCACAAUGGAACUGAGACACGGUCCAUACUCCUACGGGGGGCAGCAGUGAGGAAUCUUCCGCAAUGGGCGAAAGCCUGACGGAGCGACACCGCGUGGUGGAUGAAGGCCUUUUGGUUGUAAACACCUUUUCUGGGGGAAUAAAUGAUGAAGGUACCCCAGGAAUAAGCACCGGCUAACUACG